AUGUGCUUCAACCUCAUAAUAAAGCAACAACCUUGUGUGAAACCCAAAUAUGGGUUUGAACGUGCUGUCCCUCCAGAGCAUGGAUAUGUUCAGUCAGGCAUUUUCCGAACCUGGCUAAUGCAACCCCUUAUGUUUUCUUUGGGAGCUCUGCUAAACCCGCUCGUCACAGAUGUGCGAAGUGUGAUAGCGUCCAUCCCCCUGCACCUCAUUAACGUUUCCUCCUGUGCAAGUGUGAAAAUGACUGGAGAGAAAAGAGGAAACUUAAGGUGCCAGGCUGGAGAAGACAUGGGCUCCCUCUUCUGCAGCUGA
This 309-nucleotide long non-coding RNA is filed under the name Cyanistes caeruleus (blue tit). RNAcentral describes it as "lncRNA (ENSCCEG00000000554.1)". The record is from RNAcentral. Lineage: Eukaryota; Metazoa; Chordata; Aves; Passeriformes; Paridae.